RNAcentral lists this long non-coding RNA (283 nucleotides) under Equus caballus (horse). RNAcentral's name for it is "lncRNA (ENSECAG00000059273.1)". The record is from RNAcentral. Lineage: Eukaryota; Metazoa; Chordata; Mammalia; Perissodactyla; Equidae.
GAGUAGCUGCCCCUGGACACUCAGUGGUGGAGCCUCUUUUGGGAGCCCCCCAGCCCAGAGUGACACAGAGAGCCUGGGGAGGGGGCAGGUACGUGGGAGCCGGGUGGCUGAGAAUCCCUCUCCUGGAGGUUAAGGCAGCUUGUGUCGGGGAACAUGGGAGGUGGCAGGCGGCGGCGAGCCGAGCGCGAGCCGGGGCCUGGCGGGGAGAGACGGCCGGCAGGGCGCAGUCCUGGAGGGAUGGAGAGGCGGAGGGGGCCCGCGGGAAGGUGGCUUCUUGACACCU